CAAUAGCGUAUAUUAAAGUUGUUGCAGUUAAAAAGCUCGUAGUUGGAUUUCUGGUCGGAAGCUCCUGUCCUCUGAUGAGCGUACAAGUGCGUCCUACCAUCCUUCUGUUAACCUUUAAGGCUUUCGCGGCUUUCUAGGGGCUCAGAUAUUUUACCUUGAGAAAAUUAGAGUGUUUCAGGCAGGCUAGCGCCGGAAUACAUUAGCAUGGAAUAAUGGAAUAGGACUUUUGCCUCUUCUGUUGGUCAUGAGGCUCGAGUAAUGAUUAAUAGUGAUAGUUGGGGGCAUUAGUACUUAACUGUCAGAGGUGAAAUUCUCGGAUUUGUUAAAGACUAACUUAUGCGAAAGCAUUUGCCAAGGAUGUUUUCAUUAA
Molecule: ribosomal RNA, 370 nt
Filed under: uncultured eukaryote
Lineage: Eukaryota
Description: partial 18S ribosomal RNA
Rfam family: Eukaryotic small subunit ribosomal RNA
Source: RNAcentral